This is a long non-coding RNA of Fundulus heteroclitus (mummichog), 239 nucleotides long. RefSeq lists it as uncharacterized. NCBI's taxonomy places the organism in Eukaryota, Metazoa, Chordata, Actinopteri, Cyprinodontiformes, Fundulidae. The transcript is spliced from 3 exons. The record is from RefSeq and is a predicted model, not a curated record.
GAGUGCCUUUCGAGCGCAAUUCCGAAAGGGUGAAACGACUGCGGCAUGAUUAUGCAGAGAGAGUUUUACAAAUGGAUGGAGAGGAGAUCCAGCAUGAGUUCAUUUACGUAGAUGAGGCUGGGUUCAACCUGACGAGAACACGAAGGAGGGGAAGAAACAUCAUUGGCCACAGGGCUAUAGUCAAUGUCCCAGGGCAACGUGGGGAAGAGUUUUUCUCGGCAUGGCGGUGGAAGGUAUAU